Molecule: long non-coding RNA, 1483 nt
Organism: Herpailurus yagouaroundi (jaguarundi)
Lineage: Eukaryota; Metazoa; Chordata; Mammalia; Carnivora; Felidae
Exons: 7
Source: RefSeq, a predicted model, not a curated record
CAUCAGUCCUCUGCAAAAAUGUUAUUUCGAUGAACGCAAGGCCGAGACUAUCUUGUUCACUGUCAUAUCAUCAGCCCCUAGCGAAAUGACUAAGUAUAUAGUAAGAGCUUAAGAAGUAUUUAAUGAAUUGAAUUGAAAUUGAAAUUCCGUAUUCCCUUUGUAAAAGGCAACUGUCCUUGAAAUGAGCAACACGCUAAACCAUGUUAUACUAAAACUAUAUAUUCUCAGGCAAAAUCCUAGAAGGCAAUGUUGGACAAGAAAGUUAUGUACAAAUGGUAUAAAGAGGCUUCAAACAAAUUGGCUGCUGUCUCCCUUCACUUCAGACCCUGAAUGCAACAUUACAAGUACUAAGCUCUACAAUACAGAAAUGCUGCUGAACUAGAAUAUGACCUGAGAAAGAUAGGAGCAAAGGAAAGAAAAUGUCCAGAAAAGAUGCGGUAUGGAUGUCUUCGGUUGAGAUUAACUGGAUAUGGUUUCUCAUUACAAAGUUAAAACGUUGUGAAGAGGCAAGAGUGAAUGACGGCAUUACAUCACUAACCACCAACCACCAUCUUUUGGACUGAUGGUCAUUGCAUAGUCAGGAAGCAUCAGCAGGAUCUCUAUCUGCACCUCUACCCUACUUUGCUCCAGAAAUACAAGAACUAGUGAUUUCUCCUGGUGACUGUUCCACACGCUGACCAGAGAUAGUCUUCCUGCACAUAAGACCAGUUGCAGAUUGGCUGGCCUUCCCUUCCAUCUGCUAUUCUCCCCACCGUCCAACCUUUGUCUUGACUAUAAUCACAUGAUAUUUUCUGAGCCAAAAGUGUCCAACUGACCCAGAAUUCCUGAGCCAUAACACAGAUUACAAGACCAAGCCUUGCCACUUGGCCACCACACUUGACUCUGUUUAAGAUUAAAGGGAAGGAAUGUGGAGGAGGCUUCAUCACUACAACCAGGAGUGAAAGGACAUGUGCAUACAACCAAGCUGUGGACAACUAGUUCGCCAUCUCGUCACAAUACCAAUGAGCCAACUUUUAUAUUCGAUGCAGAAAUACUGUCUUAUUUAUCUGAUGUUUUACAGACACCGAGUUUCCACUUAGACAGUUGUCCAGGGCCCUGAAUCACUUACUUUAAUUAUGCUAACACCAGUGAAUGUGGUCAAGAAAUUCCAAGUACCUGAUCUAAUAACACGAUCCAAGUCUUUGCCAUUUCAUGGCCAAUCUUAAGAGUUUCACUUUGAGCAGUUACUCUAAAAGUUUUCUCUUUUUUUCUGUCAUGUAGCAGAAGUGUGCUAUUGGAUACAUCACUGAUUUUAAUUUUUUUUCUUUAGGAAAAGCCAAAAUAAUACUUCAUUCUGUCUUUAAAUACAUAUUAGUGAUGUGUAGCAAAUGAGACAAAAUUUAUAAACUAAAAAUGCCACACAAAUGGUAGUUUGAUGCUUUUUGUUCUGUUUGACUCUGUUGUCAGGAAAACCAGACAUAUGUGUUGUGAAUACAUUUUUUGA